Molecule: long non-coding RNA, 422 nt
Organism: Cavia porcellus (domestic guinea pig)
Lineage: Eukaryota; Metazoa; Chordata; Mammalia; Rodentia; Caviidae
Exons: 2
Source: RefSeq, a predicted model, not a curated record
UCUGAGCAGGACUUAUGUCUGCACCGGUCUCCACCCAGGCUCCAGAGUCUGGAAGGACAAAGGCACUUUGAGUUGCUUGCUGAGUGGACCCAUAACUAAGAUUUCUGCGGUCAUAGACUGUCCAUACGCCUGUGUCCUGCGUCCUGCAGCCUGUCCCCAUUGUAAAUUCUGCUGCCACGUCCAGAGACCACGAACUCACACGGACAUCUAGUAGAUCGGGAGUCUCAGGCCCCUGUAUCACCGUGAGCGGCUUCUCCUCCACCAGGCCCCUCUGCCAGGGCACCCCGCCUUGGAACCUCCUGACCAUGGGCUGAAACCUCUAUGGACUGUGAGCUAAGAUGAACCUCUCCUCUUUAAACUGUGUGCGUCGUGUAUUUUGUCCCAUCUAUGAACAAAGUGAAUAAAAUACAGUUUGGAUUCUC